This 254-nucleotide ribosomal RNA is filed under the name uncultured bacterium. RNAcentral's name for it is "partial 16S ribosomal RNA". It matches the Rfam family "Bacterial small subunit ribosomal RNA", at positions 524 to 776 of the family's 1533-position model. The record is from RNAcentral.
UACGUAGGGUGCGAGCGUUAAUCGGAAUUACUGGGCGUAAAGCGUGCGCAGGCGGUUAUUUAAGUCAGGUGUGAAAGCCCUGGGCUUAACCUAGGAAUUGCGCUUGAGACUGGAUAGCUUGGAGUGCGGCAGAGGGAGGUGGAAUUCCACGUGUAGCAGUGAAAUGCGUAGAGAUGUGGAGGAACACCGAUGGCGAAGGCAGGUCUCUGGGCCGCAACUGACGCUGAGGAGCGAAAGCAUGGGGAGCGAACAGG